Long non-coding RNA from Neofelis nebulosa (Clouded leopard), 1547 nucleotides. RefSeq lists it as uncharacterized. Lineage: Eukaryota; Metazoa; Chordata; Mammalia; Carnivora; Felidae. The transcript is spliced from 2 exons. The record is from RefSeq and is a predicted model, not a curated record.
UAAGCCCUGGCUAUGAGACAGCAAGCAGUGAAUCACAGAUCUGGAAGGCACUUGCUGAUGGACGGGGAAAAUGAGGCCUCAAGAAGGAAAGCAACUUACUCAAGUUCACUCAGCAAGUGAACAGAGACGGUACCAGGGGUCUCCACUCUCCCACUCCCCUUUUCUUUCCAUCAAGGAGGUCUCUCAAGGCGAAUUCCGCUGGAUGGCAUCCUGAGGGGUCGGGCCGCCCUUGCCGGCCUUACCCCCUCCGGCCCCGAACAGCUUGCCGAACACCGACAUGGUUGCUGCUCGCCGCGCCGGCCUGCGCCGCCCGCUCCGGCUCGGCUCGGCUCGGCUCCAGCGCCCGCUCCUGGCCCCGCCGCUCCCUGCCGCCACAGGCCUCUCCGCCGCCUCCGCCCCGCAGCUGGGCUCGGCCGCGCCACCUCCCACAGGCCCCCACGCCCGGGGCCGGCCAGCGUCAGAGCAAUACGUCGCUGACUACAACUCCCGGAGGGCAACGCGCCGGCCGUGCCUCAAACCUAAUGGAAGGAGGCGCACUGCAUGCCGGGAGACUAUAGUCUUCCGGCUUGAGGCGCUCCGCGGCGCGUCUUUUUGGUCCAGCUAGAGUCAAAGGGCGAGGUGGCAUGCUGGGAAAUGUAGUCUCCUUGGAGCCCGUUCUGUAGAGGUAGAAGGACUAGAAGAGAAAUAAUAUUUUUCAAAACGUUAAUUAGCAUUACGUACAUUCUGUGAUCCAGGAAUUGUGCAAAGUGCUUUACACACAUUAUCACAUUUAAUUCUCACAAGCUUAAUGAUAGAUAAUACUGUUCCUAUUUUGUAGGUGAGUAACCAAGACUCAGAGAAACUGAGCGGCUGACUAGCUUAAUUGACUAGUCCUGUCUUUGUAUACUUUGUUCCCUCUACCUAGAAUGCCUUUCUACUCUUUAUUCGCCUAGCAGGUUCUUGGAAACCUAGUAGAAACUAACAGCCUUGGCACUGGAGUUAGACUGCAAAGGUUCAAAACGCACCUUGCAACUUAGGCAAGUUACUUCCCCUACUCUGUGUGCCUUCCUGUCUGAAACUGUAAACUAGAAAUGAUAAUAACAAGACCACCUCCAAGUUUAUAUGAGAUAGGUAAUGUAAAGUGUUUAUUUAGCAUGGCCUAGCUAGGUGCUCAAAAAUUUAUUCCUUAUUCUUGGUCAUCAUUAUACACACUAAUAAUUAAACCAGGCUGAGACCUGAAACUGAGACCCAGAACUUUCAAAAGUAGUAGAAGUAUUGAAGAGUUUUUUUGUCCGUGCAUUAUACAGAUCACUGUGGUUAUGGGGCCACAUUUCAUUGUUUUCCCUUGUCCUUUGCUGUCAAGAAUCACUUCUCCCUUGGGGCACCUGGGUGGCUCAGUCAGUUGAGUGUUCAACUCCGUUUUGGCUCAGGUCAUGGUCUCCCAGUUUGUGAGCCCCAUGUCGGGUUCUGCGCUGGCAACUAGGAGCCUGCUUGAGAUUCUCUCUCUCCCUCUCUCUGACCCUCCCCUGCUCAUGGUCUCUCUCUCUCUCUUUCUCUCUCUUUCUCUC